AUCUCGUUGGGCUAGUGGUCAUGCCAUCUGUCUCACAAGAUUCUAUGGAUUUUUCGAGAACACAGAAGAUCGCAGGUUCAAACCCUGCACGAGAUA
Sclerotinia borealis F-4128 is the source of this 96-nucleotide transfer RNA. It matches the Rfam family "tRNA". Rfam says of the family: Transfer RNA (tRNA) molecules are approximately 80 nucleotides in length. Their secondary structure includes four short double-helical elements and three loops (D, anti-codon, and T loops). Lineage: Eukaryota; Fungi; Ascomycota; Leotiomycetes; Helotiales; Sclerotiniaceae. The record is from Rfam.